UACAGGGGGUGCAAACGUUGCUCGGAAUCAUUGGGCGUAAAGCGCACGUAGGCGGUCUGUUAUGUCGGAUGUGAAAGCCCUUGGCUCAACUGAGGAAGUGCAUCCGAAACUGGCAGGCUAGAGUACUAAAGAGGGUCGCGGAAUUCCCGGUGUAGAGGUGAAAUUCGUAGAUAUCAGGAAGAACACCUAUGGCGAAGGCAGCUCUCUGGGACGGUACUGACGCUGAGACGCGAAAGCGUGGGGAGCGAACAGA
RNAcentral lists this ribosomal RNA (253 nucleotides) under uncultured bacterium. RNAcentral describes it as "partial 16S ribosomal RNA". It matches the Rfam family "Bacterial small subunit ribosomal RNA", at positions 524 to 776 of the family's 1533-position model. The record is from RNAcentral.